Molecule: non-coding RNA, 30 nt
Filed under: Homo sapiens (human)
Lineage: Eukaryota; Metazoa; Chordata; Mammalia; Primates; Hominidae
Source: RNAcentral
UGAAAAUGCUCCCAAAUGCUGGAGACCUCA